AAAUGAUCCCCCUGCCGCACGCCAACACACACACAACACCUUUUGGCGUAUCUGCACCCGCACCCCGUAGGGCGUAGGCACCCCUUUAGAGAGAGGGAUCAUGGAUGGGAGAGGCUGCGCCCAUGCCGCCACCAUUCCUGAGAACCACUCUUCUCCCAAGAAAGACACCCGGCUGGAGUCAGCAGGUGUCCGGGCGCCUGCAGCUUCUGUGACCGUCUCCUGGUGCCUUGCGGGACUCCAGCUUCCGCUCUCUGACUCUGCUUGCUGCCUGCGGCCCACGUGGGAGAACUGGUUACUUGCUCUUUUGUAUGCUUCCGGCUUCUUUUUCCUCCAAACUUAGGCCUUCUCACUGCUGAAGUUUUCCCCAGCAGCGUAAUACUAUUGGAAUAAUUGGUGGAACAGGCCUGGAUGAUCCAGAAAUUUUAGAAGGAAGAACUGAAAAAUAUGUGGAUACUCCAUUUGGCAAGCCAUCUGAUGCCUUAAUUUUGGGGAAGAUAAAAAAUGUUGAUUGCGUCCUUCUUGCAAGGCAUGGAAGGC
Molecule: small RNA, 537 nt
Filed under: Pongo abelii (Sumatran orangutan)
Lineage: Eukaryota; Metazoa; Chordata; Mammalia; Primates; Hominidae
Description: processed transcript
Source: RNAcentral